This is a long non-coding RNA of Aplysia californica (California sea hare), 1511 nucleotides long. RefSeq lists it as uncharacterized. NCBI's taxonomy places the organism in Eukaryota, Metazoa, Mollusca, Gastropoda, Aplysiida, Aplysiidae. The record is from RefSeq and is a predicted model, not a curated record. The transcript is spliced from 3 exons.
CGCGGUGCCAUUCCAUUGUCGCGAGGGCACGACCCUAGAGCUCACUCUCUCAUCUCAGCGACGCGCAGUAUAAAGCAACAACAUGAGUAACAUUACUGGAAGCAGUGUAGGAUCAACAUUUUUUUGCGAGACAGCGCGUCUGUUUUCUUUUUUUUUUCCCAUGAGGAGACAAGAAAAAAUCGGACCAGACUUUUGAAACGUGCAUGUCUUGACUAAAUAAUGUUGCUACUUAAUCGUCCGUUGAUUUGAUUUUAAAUAUGGUGUUUUUUUAUGAAUGAAAAUGUGAUGUUCGGAUUGAUUUCUGUGCUACAUUUCUGGAAGAAGCCGCAGAUGCCCACAGACAGUGGAUUAUAUUCUCACGUGGCUAACAGGGUUUGACACCUAACAUAUGGGAGCACGUGCUUUUGUUCCUACGUUUGAUGUAGACUCUCAAAUCAUAUUUGUCGUUAACAAUACUGGAAGUGAUGAUCGGAGCAAACCUUGAGUGCCUUUGAUGAACACUCACCUGCAUACCCUAGACUGUUGGCAGAUAAGUGUUCCGUUGGAAACAAAAGUGGAAGUCGGGAAAUAUCACUAUUUAAUUGAUGUCCACGUACAGGCAGAUGGAAUUCACGGAAGAACGUACACGGUACUCCGAAAAUGUGUGCAAAUAGAUUCAUUCGCGUCUGGAGCACCAACAAAAGUGAUGUGAUGUGCAUGUGGUAAACGCUGCUGAUUCGAUUGAUAUGAAUGCUUUUUGCCACCUUGAAAAUGUCUGAGAAGUUACUUUUCAUGUGGACGAAAGUUGACACCAGUCUUCAUGCAGGUCUUUCCUCCGGUACCACCACCUUUCUUAUGCCGUCUUGCAUACAACUUCAUAAAACCUCGCACACGAACGAUUACAGCUUCUCACCGGUACAAACUCAUCUUAGACUACCCUACACACUUUCUCAGAGAUUCCGACUCGAAAAGCAAGUUUACAGAAUCCCAAACACAAACCCACACAAUAGCACACACACUCGUCUUCACCCGCAAAGAAAUCUAUACAAUAAUUCUACUCACUCCACCUCCCACCAGCACCUCGUGGUGUGGUCAUGACGAUGAGCAAAAGCCUAGCUUCGUGUCUGGGUGUGCGCAUGUCCCAGCUGAAGGUCAUGUGUGGUUUGUCUCUCGAUUCCACAGCCAGGGAGGAGCGCGCCCUCAGCCAGGUGUCUGGGGAUCCAAUCCCUGUCAACAAGUUCCAGGCGGUCUACAGGCAAAGGCGGCAAAACAAGCAGCUGGCUAUCGAGUUCAAGAUGACCACAGCCGCGUCAUUGUGUGGGACAGACCAGUCUCUCUCUCGACAGAUUAUUACAACGCCAGUUUCAUCGAUGUGAGUUGAUUACCUCGCUCCUUUUGUCUUUGGAUGUCAAAAAUACCCUCUUCUUCCACUGGAGUGUCGUUUAUUCGUGAGAUUUAUUUUGUCGAACAACGUUGCUUCAAUUGUGGGUAAACGCGAAAGUAUAGAGAAAAUAAAAUACAUGAAAGGUUAA